GACGAACGCUGGCGGCGUGCUUAACACAUGCAAGUCGAACGGAAAGGCCCUGCUUUUGUGGGGUGCUCGAGUGGCGAACGGGUGAGUAACACGUGAGUAACCUGCCCUUGACUUUGGGAUAACUUCAGGAAACUGGGGCUAAUACCGGAUAGGAGCUCCUGCUGCAUGGUGGGGGUUGGAAAGUUUCGGCGGUUGGGGAUGGACUCGCGGCUUAUCAGCUUGUUCGUGGGGUAGUGGCUUACCAAGGCUUUGACGGGUAGCCGGCCUGAGAGGGUGACCGGCCACAUUGGGACUGAGAUACGGCCCAGACUCCUACGGGAGGUAGCAGUGGGGAAUAUUGCACAAUGGGCGGAAGCCUGAUGCAGCAACGCCGCGUGCGGGAUGACGGCCUUCGGGUUGUAAACCGCUUUCGCCUGUGACGAAGCGUGAGUGACGGUAAUGGGUAAAGAAGCACCGGCUAACUACGUG
This 468-nucleotide ribosomal RNA is filed under the name uncultured bacterium. RNAcentral's name for it is "partial 16S ribosomal RNA". It matches the Rfam family "Bacterial small subunit ribosomal RNA", at positions 28 to 507 of the family's 1533-position model. The record is from RNAcentral.